RNAcentral lists this ribosomal RNA (468 nucleotides) under uncultured bacterium. Its description in RNAcentral is "partial 16S ribosomal RNA". It matches the Rfam family "Bacterial small subunit ribosomal RNA", at positions 28 to 507 of the family's 1533-position model. The record is from RNAcentral.
GACGAACGCUGGCGGCGUGCUUAACACAUGCAAGUCGAACGGAAAGGCCCUGCUUUUGUGGGGUGCUCGAGUGGCGAACGGGUGAGUAACACGUGAGUAACCUGCCCUUGACUUUGGGAUAACUUCAGGAAACUGGGGCUAAUACCGGAUAGGAGCUCCUGCUGCAUGGUGGGGGUUGGAAAGUUUCGGCGGUUGGGGAUGGACUCGCGGCUUAUCAGCUUGUUGGUGGGGUAGUGGCUUACCAAGGCUUUGACGGGUAGCCGGCCUGAGAGGGUGACCGGCCACAUUGGGACUGCGAUACGGCCCAGACUCCUACGGGAGGCAGCAGUGGGGAAUAUUACACAAUGGGCGGAAGCCUGAUGCAGCAACGCCGCGUGCGGGAUGCCGGCCUUCGGGUUGUAAACCGCUUUCGCCUGUGACGAAGCGUGAGUGACGGUAAUGGGUAAAGAAGCACCGGCUAACUACGUG